Molecule: long non-coding RNA, 231 nt
Filed under: Lathyrus oleraceus (garden pea)
Lineage: Eukaryota; Viridiplantae; Streptophyta; Magnoliopsida; Fabales; Fabaceae
Description: Pisum sativum (pea) long non-coding RNA (PSAT_LNC017699)
Source: RNAcentral
UUCAUCUUUGGGGUUCAUUUAUGACGAUUAUAAUUCAUAUUGGGGUUCAUAUUGGGGUUCAUUUGUGACGUUUGUGGUGAUUAUUCGCUUGGGGUUCAUCUUUGGGGUUCAUCUUUGGAUAUUUGGUUACUUUGUUGGGGUUCAUUCUGAUAACUUUUUUCUUUGGUGUUUGCUGGUUAGCGAUUGUUGUUGUUAGGAGUCGGAUGUAAGUCCAUGUAUUGGCAUUCUGUU